UACGUAGGGCGCAAGCGUUGUCCGGAAUUAUUGGGCGUAAAGAGCUCGUAGGCGGUUUGUCGCGUCUGCUGUGAAAACCUAAGGCUCAACCUUGGGCUUGCAGUGGGUACGGGCAGACUAGAGUGUGGUAGGGGAGACGUGGAAUUCCUGGUGUAGCGGUGAAAUGCGCAGAUAUCAGGAGGAACACCGAUGGCGAAGGCAGGUCUCUGGGCCACUACUG
RNAcentral lists this ribosomal RNA (220 nucleotides) under uncultured bacterium. RNAcentral's name for it is "partial 16S ribosomal RNA". It matches the Rfam family "Bacterial small subunit ribosomal RNA", at positions 524 to 742 of the family's 1533-position model. The record is from RNAcentral.